UAGGGAAUAUUGCAAAAUGGGCGAAAGCCCGAUGCAGCAACGCCGCGUGGGCGAUGAAGGCCUUCGGGUCGUAAAGCCCUUUUUGAGGGGAUGAGGAAGGACAGUACCCUCAGAAUAAGCCUCGGCUAACUACGUGCCAGCAGCCGCGGUAAAACGUAGGAGGCGAGCGUUAUCCGGAUUUACUGGGCGUAAAGCGCGUGCAGGCGGAUUGGAGAGUUGGAUGUGAAAGCUCCCGGCUUAACUGGGAGAGGUCGUUCAAUACUUCCAGUCUUGAGUGCAGUAGAGGGAAGUGGAAUUCCGGGUGUAGUGGUGAAAUGCGUAGAUAUCCGGAGGAACACCAGUGGCGAAAGCGGCUUCCUGGACUGCAACUGACGCUCAGACGCGAAAGCUAGGGUAGCAAAC
This 402-nucleotide ribosomal RNA is filed under the name uncultured bacterium. Its description in RNAcentral is "bacterial SSU rRNA". It matches the Rfam family "Bacterial small subunit ribosomal RNA", at positions 355 to 773 of the family's 1533-position model. The record is from RNAcentral.